CACGGCCCAGACUCCUACGGGAGGCAGCAGUAGGGAAUCUUCCGCAAUGGACGAAAAGUCUGACGGAGCAACGCCGCGUGAGUGAUGAAAGGUUUUCGGAUCGUAAAGCUCUGUUGUUAGGGAAAGAACAAGUACCGUUCGAAUAGGGCGGUACCUUGACGGUACCUAACCAGAAAGCCACGGCUAACUACGUGCCAGCAGCC
RNAcentral lists this ribosomal RNA (203 nucleotides) under Bacillus subtilis. RNAcentral describes it as "partial 16S ribosomal RNA". It matches the Rfam family "Bacterial small subunit ribosomal RNA", at positions 325 to 516 of the family's 1533-position model. Lineage: Bacteria; Bacillati; Bacillota; Bacilli; Caryophanales; Bacillaceae. The record is from RNAcentral.